RNAcentral lists this transfer RNA (82 nucleotides) under Endocronartium harknessii PhW48OC. Its description in RNAcentral is "tRNA-Ser (AGA) (tRNA-Ser-AGA-2-1, tRNA-Ser-AGA-2-2)". It matches the Rfam family "tRNA". Rfam says of the family: Transfer RNA (tRNA) molecules are approximately 80 nucleotides in length. Their secondary structure includes four short double-helical elements and three loops (D, anti-codon, and T loops). RNAcentral also lists the same sequence under 2 other names. The record is from RNAcentral. Lineage: Eukaryota; Fungi; Basidiomycota; Pucciniomycetes; Pucciniales; Coleosporiaceae.
GACAACGUGGCCGAGCGGUUAAGGCGAUUGACUAGAAAUCAAUUAGGGUUUCCCUGCGUAGGUUCAAGUCCUGCCGUUGUCG